This 403-nucleotide ribosomal RNA is filed under the name uncultured bacterium. RNAcentral describes it as "partial 16S ribosomal RNA". It matches the Rfam family "Bacterial small subunit ribosomal RNA", at positions 30 to 526 of the family's 1533-position model. The record is from RNAcentral.
AUUGAACGCUGGCGGCAGGCCUAACACAUGCAAGUCGAGCGGAGCGGGGACGGGUGAGUAACACGUGGGUAACCUCCCAUCAGAGGGGAUAACACUUGGAAACAGGUGCUAAACCGAUACUGAUGGAUGGACCCGGGGUGCUUUAGCUAGUUGGUGAGGUAACGGCUCACCAAGGCCACGAUGCAUAGCCGACCUGAGAGUGUGAUCGGCCACAAUGGGAAUGAGACACGGCCUAUACUACGACGGGAGGCACAAUUGGGGAAUCUGCGACAAUGGACGAAAGUCUGACCGAGCAACGCGGCGUGAGUGAAGAAGGUUUUCGGAUCGUAAAACUCUGUUGUUAGAGAAGCGGUAUCUAACCAGAAAGCCACGGCUAACUACGUGCCAGCAGCCGCGGUAAUAC